Molecule: ribosomal RNA, 448 nt
Filed under: uncultured bacterium
Lineage: Bacteria
Description: bacterial SSU rRNA
Rfam family: Bacterial small subunit ribosomal RNA
Source: RNAcentral
GAGCGGUAGAGAGAAGCUUGCUUCUCUUGAGAGCGGCGGACGGGUGAGUAAUGCCUAGGAAUCUGCCUGGUAGUGGGGGAUAACGUUCGGAAACGGACGCUAAUACCGCAUACGUCCUACGGGAGAAAGCAGGGGACCUUCGGGCCUUGCGCUAUCAGAUGAGCCUAGGUCGGAUUAGCUAGUUGGUGGGGUAAUGGCUCACCAAGGCGACGAUCCGUAACUGGUCUGAGAGGAUGAUCAGUCACACUGGAACUGAGACACGGUCCAGACUCCUACGGGAGGCAGCAGUGGGGAAUAUUGGACAAUGGGCGAAAGCCUGAUCCAGCCAUGCCGCGUGUGUGAAGAAGGUCUUCUGAUUGUAAAGCACUUUAAGUUGGGAGGAAGGGUUGUAGAUUAAUACUCUGCAAUUUUGACGUUACCGACAGAAUAAGCACCGGCUAACUCUGUG